This is a non-coding RNA of Triticum aestivum (bread wheat), 126 nucleotides long. The record is from Rfam. NCBI's taxonomy places the organism in Eukaryota, Viridiplantae, Streptophyta, Magnoliopsida, Poales, Poaceae.
AAUCUACUUCCUUCGUCCGAAAAUAUUUGUCGAAAAAAUGCAUAAAAAUGAACAUAUCUAUAAUUAAAAAUACGUCUAGAUACAUUCAUUUCUCCGACAAAUAUUUCUGGACGGAAGGAGUACAUG